CGCACCCACACCAAGGCCACCACCCAGGUGGGAGUCCAGCCAUCAGCACCUGUACCCUGUUCCCACACCUCUCACUUCAGUGUGAGACAGUCUACCCACUGCUGGCAUCCAGAUACGAACACACCUACUGGCAGAUGUGACCGUAGGAGAAAUUGGAGCCAUCUGAACCCAGACCGGGAGAAAAAAAAUCAAUGGGACUUCACAUCCCACAAGCGGCUAUGCCCUGCAGUCUCAACAAUACCACACCAGAUCCAGCACGGCAUAAUGUUUCUCCUCGAAGGGUAGAGGUAAAGGUUAAAUGAGCUAACACAUGAGAAGCACUCAGAAGGGCCCUGGCAGGUAAGCACUGACCUUCAGGUCAACUGUGCACAAAUGGCACUGUCACCCAUUUGGAAGAUGAAGACACUGACUUAGGAGAUGAACUCAAGACUCACAUCCAGUUUGUCUGACUCCCUGGGAGACAGAGCAAAACCCUGUCUCAACAGAAGAAAAAAAGCAAAAAAGCUUUUGGCUCUCGAGUUCACCCUGUCCUUUCUGGGACCACUGAUAGGCGUGACCGGGAACCUGAAGGGCCUGCCUGUGAUCUAGUCACUGAGCCUAACCCUCGAAUUAAUUUUUAGGGCAUGUGCUUUUUAAGUGGGUAUUAGUGAGCUGCAGUGGCAGCAGCAACCCUUUACCAUGGCCAGAGACUGUAGAAGGUAGGUCAGACACCCAAAAAGGGAAGGCCUGGUAAAGGCAGUAACAACCCUUGCCCAAGUCUAAAUAAAGUCUUCAGGAGAGAAGCGUUCUUUAAACACUCAGAAAACUUUUCUGCUCUAAGAAAAGCCCGGGAGGAGCUUACUGAAUGAACAAAACCUUAACGGACUUGGCCAGAUCCCAAAGGAGUGAAGAAUCCUAGAGCUGGAUGAAACCUUGCUCAUUCCUCUCCGGAGAGAGUAAAGCACUGUUCCGGUCAAACUGCCUAGUUCGCAGUGGUGUGAGACUCCAGAUCCCCGGCUUCCCAGCUCUCAGAAGCCCUACCAAGACUGCAGCACUGACUCAGGUUCUAAUUGCAAAAGAUCAACGCAGGAGGUACAGUCAGCAUAAGCUCCAGACAGUAUGACCAUUUGAGCAUCUAUAAAAAGACACUGAGCAAGUGGGAAAUGUCUUAAGAUGGCUUCCACUUGCUGUCAACCCCAGGGCUCCCUGCCAUUAAAUAAGCUGACCAGAACCCUAAGAGGUAAAAAAUAAAUGCACUUCCUUCAAAAAUAGGUUAUUCUUACUUCUCUUUACACACCGACUGUAAAAGUUCUGUUUCAAAUUUUUCUCUAGUAGGGAAAGCAGGAAGGCUCACUGAAUGCUGGCAUUGUGUGGGUGUCCCCAAAUGCACCCAUUUGACCACAAGGACCCUGAGAAGUGGGCAUUUUAUACUUGAGGCCUAUUGCACACAGCUGGGAGGAGCCAGGCCUGAACAGUUUUAUCUGGCUCCAAAGUCCACAGUCUUCCUCCACAUCCUGUUGCCACCUCCGACAUUCAAAAAGAUGUCACCACUUGCCUGACAAACAGGGCCGAGUCACCUACUCACACAGAUGCAAAAUGGCAAAAAAAAAAAAAAAAAAAAAAAAAUACAAGAGAAAGAUCCUUCAUGCAGACCAGUCUGGCCAGAGCAGCAAACUAUGCCCCGAGCAAAUAAUCCUAAAUUCCAUUAAGAAAAAAAGUAACAGGACACAACUAAACCUAGCACCAACCAAUGGCCGUAUCUUCAUUUUUGUCAACAACUACUAAGAGUCACCCCACGGGGUGAUGUGCCAGAAAUCGAUUUAAAAACUGCCCAUCUCACCUCAUUACAUCACCAGCAAAAUCGCACACAACGUCUUCAAGACUAUCUGCAUUAACCACUAAAAGCAAACGCCUUCCGCAGCAAAGACUAGGCCAAGACAUGGGGAGAGUCAAACCCAUGACGUUUGGCUCCCCCUGAACAAUCUCAUUUUUACCUUAACUUAUCCCCAUGAACUUGACAUGCCACCCAGACAAACUGGCAGCUUUUCCAUCCUAUUAGGUUUUAAUUAUGAAACUGGCUUCAAACCAUGUAUUCGGACAGGAUCCCCGCCACCAGUGAGGCUUCGCCUACAGUCCCUGAUCUGCUGAAUCGAUACCAAUUGCCAGAAAUCUCAGGAGUCAUCCUUCUCUUCUUAGCUGUGCUGCCAAGGUACAGGUUAAGCGCCCUGCUCAAUUCAGCUACUUUGCUUGCUAUUCGAAUGCUCUGUCCCUCAACCUCUCGCGGAUCGGAGAAACAGUUGCUCUGGCCUAGAAGCACUAUUUUUUUUUUUGUGGUGGUGGUGGUGGGGGGUGCCCAAAAUUAGGUUCUCUAGAAUCUGGUUUGACUUGAUAGUAUCCAUGGAGACUUGGAAAUAGUUUCAUUAGCAAUUUUCACCAUAGAGAUAUUUACUGUAACUGGAUCUGACCUCUUCUGGAGAGGUUUCUAGAGGCCGGAUAGCCGUAAAAACAAAACCAAAGGAAGUGAACGACCCUCAGACAGCCAUUUCUUUCCCAUCAGGGAAGAAGUAAAAGAUCUAAGAGCAAGAAGCAGAGGUGGAAGCACUGCUAAAUAAAUUACUAACCAGGCCCAAAAUGAAAUUGCUCUACAUUCAACUGUAUGGAAACGCAAGAGUCAAAACCGUUCAUCUUUAACUCGCCAGGCAGUGAACAGUCAGGUCCACAGGUACAAAACAGUAUUCCCUUGGGAUCGGCCUUCCCGGCUUCGGAAAACCACAACAGUGGCUUACUAAAAUAGCUAGCUCUACUUAGAGAAAACUCUGGCUUAUAAAGAAAUCAAAACUUUAAACCUUCAGAGCAGAGCAAAACUGUACCUGGGCGAAGAGGACAGGCUGUGAAUUACUCCUUUUGGGGAAUCGCAUUUUUUUUCUUUUGAAGAGCAAAAUUGAGGGGAAUUAAAAAAAUAAAGGGGUUUUAUGACCAGAACAUCCGUAUUUCCAUGGUCACAAUGGACUGUUUCUACUAGGAGACUUUGAAUUGCUUUCAAAUUAAAUCUCUCACGCAGAGAAAAUAAAAAUGAAAAAGGUCACGUGUAUAUAGUAAAAUUCCUUAAAUCAGGGAUUCUGAGUGACACCCUUUUCUCUCUUUUUUGCAACAUCCAUUAAUUUGAUUUUUAACUAAUACUGGUACAUCAGUUUGGGGGGGUGAAAAAGGCAGUACUGUGACAUUUCAAAAACAAAGAUUCCAAAAUACAGUUUUUGACUUAAUUACUGGGACCUCUGGGUCUUAAUGGAAGAGAGUCCUUUGAGAACAGAAAACAAUAAACCCUUGUGUUGAUAUGCCAGUGAGCUUUUUAAAUGUUUGGGGAAAUAGUUUCAAAUUCAUUGAAUGAUGGCUAAAAAUUUCACUUACAAAAGAAACCUCAUUUCCUUAACGUUUUUUAAAACGUCAGUUUAAAUAAACAACUUAGUAGCCUUUGGAACUGGGUCCUCAGUCAUCUAGUCUCUGUUCUCAGCUCCUGGAGAAGGAAUUUUACAAAGGAUGGGAAACUUCAAAUAAGUGCAGUUCUUUUUGGGCUGACCCAGUGCCCCGGAUCUAGUGUUUGUUCGGUUGGUGCUUCAGACAUUUUUUUGCGGGAUACCAUAGAGUUUGGAGAUUUCUUCCUCCCAUAACUGAUUUUACAUCCUCACUAGGAUAACCACACCACAGCAGUUGUGAACAGACUAAGAGGAAGAAACCAAGUGGCCUACUGAAUUGCAGUUUCCUCUCUACACGUGUGGGACCUUUUUUCCUUGUAAGAAGGGAAAAAAGGAAACGGGUCUGUUGGAGAGGACCAGGGUUCUCUCUCAAAGUAUGCCAGGGAUCAAAAGUGGGAAAGAGGGAAAAUGCAACUUCAACGUGUUUUGUCUUUUAACGGAACUGAUGCUUGUAAAACACAUCGGAAGUACGGUGUUUGGUUCUGCAAGUCAUUUCUGUUGGUUUUUUUUCCUUGUUAACGUGUAGGACGGGGGACUGGGGGCUGGAGGAGGUGUUCCCUCCAACAUGACUGGGCGUGUAACACGUUUGCAUCAACUUUUCACAGACAUGUGCUUUCGAACAAAGGAGCAGUGGAGACAGGCAGAGAUGGGGGCUUGACAGAGUUCACAGAUUUUGUGCUUCAACAGUACUUUACAAAUGACUUGCUCAAUUUUAAGGUCCAUCACCACAAGAGACAUUGGAGUAAAACGAGAAAAUUGGAGCUACUUGAACCAAUCUUUUUGGGGGGGGAGGGAGAACCAUUAACUUGAAUACAUGUAUCAUAAAUCAAAUUCAGUAAGCUUGUCUCCUAUAAAUGGACUUGAAGUAUCCACUUUCUUCAAAGAUGAAGGCUGGAGACAAAGCAAUGGAUUGAAAUGGAAAGAGGGACGCCAGAGCCUGAAAACACAGGCCUUUUACAUCGGUUUUUGUCAUGUUACAGUAGCACACUUUUUUUUUUUUUUGAGAAAACUGUGUACAUCAAAUUUAAAAAAUUAAACACUGAAAGGAUGUGCAAGUAUAAAAGGGCUCAACAGGGUUAGAAUCCUGAUUCCAACACAUCAAUUCACUCUCAAGCAUCACUUUGGUCUAAAGGCGAGGAAGAAGGCAGGCAGGAAAGGGAGAAAAAGAGGGAGAUCAUUGAAUUACUCAAUAAAAGAGGCUACUUACCAUCCCAACCCAUUGUAAGACAUACACUUCUGACAUAAGAGAACUCCUUAGAGGUCGAAUAAAGCGUGUAAGCACCUUUGAGUAAUGCACCUGCCCCCGGAGAGGGGGCCGGAAGCCCGACGUGGGCUUAGCGAACAGACCUUUGCUAAUCUGUUUAUUUCCUUGAACUGGAGUCGGGCUGCGAUGGGCUGCGAUUCCCAGGACGAUACAUUUAAUUAGAACAAAACAGAAAAAAAAAAUGUUGUAAAAGCUCA
Long non-coding RNA from Callithrix jacchus (white-tufted-ear marmoset), 4913 nucleotides. RefSeq lists it as uncharacterized. The record is from RefSeq and is a predicted model, not a curated record. Lineage: Eukaryota; Metazoa; Chordata; Mammalia; Primates; Cebidae.